This 1554-nucleotide ribosomal RNA is filed under the name Staphylococcus aureus. Its description in RNAcentral is "16S ribosomal RNA". It matches the Rfam family "Bacterial small subunit ribosomal RNA". Lineage: Bacteria; Bacillati; Bacillota; Bacilli; Caryophanales; Staphylococcaceae. The record is from RNAcentral.
UUUAUGGAGAGUUUGAUCCUGGCUCAGGAUGAACGCUGGCGGCGUGCCUAAUACAUGCAAGUCGAGCGAACGGACGAGAAGCUUGCUUCUCUGAUGUUAGCGGCGGACGGGUGAGUAACACGUGGAUAACCUACCUAUAAGACUGGGAUAACUUCGGGAAACCGGAGCUAAUACCGGAUAAUAUUUUGAACCGCAUGGUUCAAAAGUGAAAGACGGUCUUGCUGUCACUUAUAGAUGGAUCCGCGCUGCAUUAGCUAGUUGGUAAGGUAACGGCUUACCAAGGCAACGAUGCAUAGCCGACCUGAGAGGGUGAUCGGCCACACUGGAACUGAGACACGGUCCAGACUCCUACGGGAGGCAGCAGUAGGGAAUCUUCCGCAAUGGGCGAAAGCCUGACGGAGCAACGCCGCGUGAGUGAUGAAGGUCUUCGGAUCGUAAAACUCUGUUAUUAGGGAAGAACAUAUGUGUAAGUAACUGUGCACAUCUUGACGGUACCUAAUCAGAAAGCCACGGCUAACUACGUGCCAGCAGCCGCGGUAAUACGUAGGUGGCAAGCGUUAUCCGGAAUUAUUGGGCGUAAAGCGCGCGUAGGCGGUUUUUUAAGUCUGAUGUGAAAGCCCACGGCUCAACCGUGGAGGGUCAUUGGAAACUGGAAAACUUGAGUGCAGAAGAGGAAAGUGGAAUUCCAUGUGUAGCGGUGAAAUGCGCAGAGAUAUGGAGGAACACCAGUGGCGAAGGCGACUUUCUGGUCUGUAACUGACGCUGAUGUGCGAAAGCGUGGGGAUCAAACAGGAUUAGAUACCCUGGUAGUCCACGCCGUAAACGAUGAGUGCUAAGUGUUAGGGGGUUUCCGCCCCUUAGUGCUGCAGCUAACGCAUUAAGCACUCCGCCUGGGGAGUACGACCGCAAGGUUGAAACUCAAAGGAAUUGACGGGGACCCGCACAAGCGGUGGAGCAUGUGGUUUAAUUCGAAGCAACGCGAAGAACCUUACCAAAUCUUGACAUCCUUUGACAACUCUAGAGAUAGAGCCUUCCCCUUCGGGGGACAAAGUGACAGGUGGUGCAUGGUUGUCGUCAGCUCGUGUCGUGAGAUGUUGGGUUAAGUCCCGAAACGAGCGCAACCCUUAAGCUUAGUUGCCAUCAUUAAGUUGGGCACUCUAAGUUGACUGCCGGUGACAAACCGGAGGAAGGUGGGGAUGACGUCAAAUCAUCAUGCCCCUUAUGAUUUGGGCUACACACGUGCUACAAUGGACAAUACAAAGGGCAGCGAAACCGCGAGGUCAAGCAAAUCCCAUAAAGUUGUUCUCAGUUCGGAUUGUAGUCUGCAACUCGACUACAUGAAGCUGGAAUCGCUAGUAAUCGUAGAUCAGCAUGCUACGGUGAAUACGUUCCCGGGUCUUGUACACACCGCCCGUCACACCACGAGAGUUUGUAACACCCGAAGCCGGUGGAGUAACCUUUUAGGAGCUAGCCGUCGAAGGUGGGACAAAUGAUUGGGGUGAAGUCGUAACAAGGUAGCCGUAUCGGAAGGUGCGGCUGGAUCACCUCCUUUCU